UACGAAGGGGGCUAGCGUUGCUCGGAAUCACUGGGCGUAAAGGGCGCGUAGGCGGCUCAUGAAGGCUGUGGUGAAAGUCCGGGGCUCAACCUCGGAUCGGCCGUGGCGACUCGUGGGCUGGAGCACUGUAGAGGCGGGUGGAAUUCCGGGUGUAGCGGUGAAAUGCGUAGAUAUCCGGAGGAACACCGGUGGCGAAGGCGGCUUCCUGGACCGACACUGACGCUGAGGCGCGAAAGCUAGGGGAGCAAACGGG
RNAcentral lists this ribosomal RNA (253 nucleotides) under uncultured bacterium. RNAcentral's name for it is "partial 16S ribosomal RNA". It matches the Rfam family "Bacterial small subunit ribosomal RNA", at positions 524 to 776 of the family's 1533-position model. The record is from RNAcentral.